Molecule: ribosomal RNA, 253 nt
Filed under: uncultured bacterium
Lineage: Bacteria
Description: partial 16S ribosomal RNA
Rfam family: Bacterial small subunit ribosomal RNA
Source: RNAcentral
UACGUAGGGGGCUAGCGUUGUCCGGAAUCAUUGGGCGUAAAGAGCGCGUAGGCGGCUGGAAUAGUCCGGUGUGAAAUCCACGGGCUUAACCUGUGAAUGCCGCUGGAAACUGUCUGGCUAGAGUCCGGAAGGGGCGAGUGGAAUUCCUGGUGUAGCGGUGAAAUGCGCAGAUAUCAGGAGGAACACCAAUGGCGAAGGCAGCUCGCUGGGACGGUACUGACGCUGAGGCGCGAAAGCGUGGGGAGCGAACAGG